AUUGAACGCUGGCGGCAGGCCUAACACAUGCAAGUCGAACGGUAGCACAGAGGAGCUUGCUCCUUGGGUGACGAGUGGCGGACGGGUGAGUAAUGUCUGGGAAACUGCCCGAUGGAGGGGGAUAACUACUGGAAACGGUAGCUAAUACCGCAUAACGUCUUCGGACCAAAGUGGGGGACCUUCGGGCCUCACACCAUCGGAUGUGCCCAGAUGGGAUUAGCUAGUAGGUGGGGUAAUGGCUCACCUAGGCGACGAUCCCUAGCUGGUCUGGGAGGAUGACCAGCCACACUGGAACUGAGACACGGUCCAGACUCCUACGGGAGGCAGCAGUGGGGAAUAUUGCACAAUGGGCGCAAGCCUGAUGCAGCCAUGCCGCGUGUAUGAAGAAGGCCUUCGGGUUGUAAAGUACUUUCAGCGGGGAGGAAGGCGUUAAGGUUAAUAACCUUGGCGAUUGACGUUACCCGCAGAAGAAGCACCGGCUAACUCCGUGCCAGCAGCCGCGGUAA
RNAcentral lists this ribosomal RNA (506 nucleotides) under uncultured bacterium. Its description in RNAcentral is "partial 16S ribosomal RNA". It matches the Rfam family "Bacterial small subunit ribosomal RNA", at positions 30 to 523 of the family's 1533-position model. The record is from RNAcentral.